AGAGUUUGAUCAUGGCUCAGAUUGAACGCUGGCGGUAUGCUUAACACAUGCAAGUCGAACGAUGAAAUUCCAGCUUGCUGGAAUUGAUUAGUGGCGGACGGGUGCGUAACGCGUGGGAAUCUACCUUAUAGUGGGGGAUAGCCCGGAGAAAUCCGGAUUAAUACCGCAUAAUCUCUACGGAGCAAAGUGGGGGAUCUUCGGACCUCACGCUAUUAGAUGAGCCCGCGUUAGAUUAGCUUGUUGGUGAGGUAAUGGCUCACCAAGGCAACGAUCUAUAGCUGGUUUGAGAGGAUGAUCAGCCACACUGGGACUGAGACACGGCCCAGACUCCUACGGGAGGCAGCAGUGGGGAAUAUUGGACAAUGGGCGCAAGCCUGAUCCAGCAAUACCGCGUGUGUGAAGAAGGCCUGAGGGUUGUAAAGCACUUUCAAUAGAGACGAAAAGCCUGAGGUUAAUAACCUCG
Molecule: ribosomal RNA, 463 nt
Filed under: uncultured bacterium
Lineage: Bacteria
Description: bacterial SSU rRNA
Rfam family: Bacterial small subunit ribosomal RNA
Source: RNAcentral